Molecule: long non-coding RNA, 1640 nt
Filed under: Phasianus colchicus (ring-necked pheasant)
Lineage: Eukaryota; Metazoa; Chordata; Aves; Galliformes; Phasianidae
Description: lncRNA (ENSPCLG00000000155.1)
Source: RNAcentral
UCUGGUGGGACCUCUGACAUGGCAGUGGGGAGACCAGGGACAGAGGCCUGUGGCCCAGCAUUCAGGCAUCAUUGCAUCCCAUGUCACAUUGCAACUGUCUGGUUACCAUUUGCAGAGUUUGUAGUGGGGAUGGAGGCCUGGCUGAGUCGUCUAGGCAAAGGGAUAAAUCCUGACAAUGGAUAUGGACAGAAGAUGAUCACCCCUCCUUCUUUCUCCACAUGCUGCAAAAUGAUGAUUAUAUCUCUCAGUAAAUUGCAGAAGACCAUGGAGUGAGUGCAAACAUUCAGGUACAGUUCUAGAAUGCAGAGAUCUAUGAUCAACUUAAUUAAGACUGACAAUUUCGAACAGAUCUGGGAGAAGAAAGAUUUAGUCUUAUUCUAAGAGUUAACCAUACCCUGGGGUGCAACAGGUCCAGGGCUGCCAAUGGCUGAGGGAAGGGAUUGUCCCGCUCUGCUCUGUACUGUGCAGCCUCACCGCCAGCACUGGGUGCAAGGUUGGAUGACACAGUGUAAAAAGGAUAUAAAACGUUCGGAGAGCACCCAAAGAAGGGCUGUGAAGACAGUCUGGGAGGCAAGAUGAGGAGUAGUUGAAGUCCCUUGACAUAUACAGCCUGGAGAAGAGGAGGCUGAGGGGAGGCCUCUUGGCAACUGCAGCUCCUCACAGGAAGUGGAGGGGCACUGCUGAGCUCUGCUCUCUAGUGACUACAAAGAAGCAGGGUCAGGACCUGAGGGAAUGGCAUGGAUCGGCAUCAUAGGAGGGUCAGGUUGGGUAUCAGGAAAAGGUUCUUCACCAAAGGGUGGUUGGGCACUGGAACAGGCUGCCCAGGCCUGGCAUCGAGCUACCAGAGUUCAAGGAGCAUUUGAACAAUGCACCCAGAUGUUUUGAUUUUGAGCAAUCCUUUGUGGGUCUCUUCUACCUAAGGGUAUUCUGUAGUCAUAUGCUUCUAUGAUUAUUCUGAUGAACUUCUGCAUGAAGCUGAUAGACUAUUUCUAGUAUACUUCUAGUAUACUUGGGCCAAGUCUAUGUCUCAUCUGGUUGAUGGUAGUUCAGGUGUUUUUAUGAUGCAUAGUGUUUUGCUGUGUAGAUGGUAUAGAUGCUACCAAUUACUGCUUUUCAAUGAAAACUUCAAAACUUUCAUUUAGAUAACCAAUGUAUGGUUAGUAGUAUUACUACCUUUUUCCUUUAAAUUGGAAACAAAAAGGAAGAGUGAUCCAGAGCACAUAGCAAACCACGUACUACUAUGUACUACCGCCAGUUUCGACAAUUUUACUUUCAAUCUCAUAAUCAGAAAAUAUAAUAUCAACAUGUUAAAAUAGGAUGUAAUCUAGAUAGUCAUAAUGGAGAUGGAUUUCUUCAGACAAAUUGCAUUUAAUCUUUAAAAAUUUUGGAAAUCAUGUGAAAAAUCCCAACAUUGAUAAUAUUUUCUUUUCCACAAGCAUUCUUACUGUUUAAAUUAAUUUUUCUAAUUAUUUUAACACCAGGCAUUGUGAAGCAGAGGAAGAACAGGAAUAUAAUACUCAGUCUAUCUCUAAUGAUUCUGUGUCAGCUAACCAAUAAGUAAAGGUGAAUUGCACCUUUGAUAAAGAGCAUGCAAAAGGAUAAAAAAUAAAAGACUGUGAGAAAGAAUAAUAGAAUGAAAG